GAGGAGCAAAAAAUCAAUGAAGAUUCAUAGAAAAUGUAGAAGAGGUUUUCAGAGAUUUUGAAGAAGAAGAAGAAGAAGAGAUUUGAGAAAAAAAAAAGAAUAGAGAGAAGAAGAGAGAUGCAUAAGUUAAGAAUUAUGAUAGAGGAAAGAAUAUUAAGUUUAAAGUAUGAAUGGUAGAGUUUGUAAUUAGAUUGAUGUUUUAGGGGUUUUUGGUCAUUUGACAAAUUUUCGAAUAAAAAAUAAAUAAAAAUAAAUGAAAAAAAGAGAGAAGCAUAUGUAAAUAUUCUUUUUCCGGGGAGAGCAUCUUAGCAUUUCAUUCAUAUAUAAUGUAGUGUAAAUUUGAAAUCAUAUUAAUAUUGUAAAAAAAUAUUUUGUUUAAUAUAAAUUAUAUAGAAUAAAAUAAAAUAUUUUCUCUUGAACAGACUAUAUAAUUUUAAGAAAUAUAUAUCUGUUUUUAAACAUGCGUAUGUGAAAAAAUGUAGAUGUAUUUUUCAACAUGUGACAUA
RNAcentral lists this long non-coding RNA (506 nucleotides) under Brassica napus (rape). RNAcentral's name for it is "long non-coding RNA (BNAP_LNC011558)". The record is from RNAcentral. Lineage: Eukaryota; Viridiplantae; Streptophyta; Magnoliopsida; Brassicales; Brassicaceae.